Transfer RNA from Phaeobacter sp., 51 nucleotides. It matches the Rfam family "tRNA", at positions 22 to 71 of the family's 71-position model. Rfam says of the family: Transfer RNA (tRNA) molecules are approximately 80 nucleotides in length. Their secondary structure includes four short double-helical elements and three loops (D, anti-codon, and T loops). The record is from Rfam. Lineage: Bacteria; Pseudomonadati; Pseudomonadota; Alphaproteobacteria; Rhodobacterales; Roseobacteraceae.
CUCGUCAGGCUCAUAACCUGAAGGUCGUAGGUUCAAAUCCUACCCCCGCAA